AAGAUAACAUCACAUGGUGAGUUAUACUUUUUCGGAUAUUAUUUUCACUUGUUGUAUCUGCUUGGAUCUUCGGACCGAGACAGAAAG
Megasphaera sp. is the source of this 87-nucleotide regulatory RNA element. It matches the Rfam family "pan motif". Lineage: Bacteria; Bacillati; Bacillota; Negativicutes; Veillonellales; Veillonellaceae. The record is from Rfam.